GACGAACGCUGGCGGCGUGGAUUAGGCAUGCAAGUCGAACGGUAUCAUCCUUUCGGGGGUGAGAGAGUGGCGAACUGGUGAGUAACACGUAGGUUAUCUACCCUCAAGACGGGGACAACCCAGGGAAACUUGGGCUAAUACCGGAUGUGAGCAACUUUUAGUUGUUUGAAAGGUGGCGUAAGCUGUCGCUUGGGGAUGAGCCUGCGUCCUAUUAGUUAGUUGGUGAGGUAACGGCUCACCUAGGCAAUGAUAGGUAGGCGGCCUUAACGGGUGGUCGCCCACACUGGGAUUGAGAUACGGCCCAGACUCCUACGGGAGGCAGCAGUCGAGAAUAGUCUACAAUGGUCGGAAGACUGAUAGUGCGACGCCGCGUGAACGAUGAAUCCCUUCGGGGUGUAAAGUUCUUUUAUAUGUGAGCAGUGCUUUCUUAUAUUAACAGUAUGGGGAAGAGAUAUUAGCAUAUGAAUAAGCAACGGCUAACUCCGUGCCAGCAGCCG
This 497-nucleotide ribosomal RNA is filed under the name uncultured bacterium. RNAcentral's name for it is "bacterial SSU rRNA". It matches the Rfam family "Bacterial small subunit ribosomal RNA", at positions 28 to 517 of the family's 1533-position model. The record is from RNAcentral.